Myotis myotis is the source of this 474-nucleotide non-coding RNA. Lineage: Eukaryota; Metazoa; Chordata; Mammalia; Chiroptera; Vespertilionidae. The record is from the annotation of a RefSeq genome assembly.
AUGGGCUCCAGGCUCCUGUGCUGUGUGGCCCUCUGCUUCCUGGGAGCAGGUUCCCUGGACACAGCAGUUUUCCAGACUCCAAAAUACGUCAUCACGCGUGUGGGAAAUAAGAAGUCCCUAAGUUGUGAACAAAAGCUGAACCAUGAUGCUAUGCACUGGUAUAAGCAGGACUCCAAGCAAUUGCUGAAGAUUAUGUUUUCCUACAGUAAUAAGGCGCUCAUUCUAAAUGAGACAGUUCCAAGUCGUUUCUUACCUGAAUCUCCGGAUAAAGCUCAUUUGAAACUUGAUAUCAACUCGUUGGAGCCGGGUGACUCUGCUGUGUAUCUCUGUGCUAGCAGCCAAGACACAGCCCUGCAAAGUCACUGCCUCCCUGUGCACAAACCUGCUGGCCCAGCCAGGAAGCUGUGGGAACAACGUGUUCACCCAGCACACCCUGCUGUGAGACCCCUGACUGGAGUUUCAUCUGUAGUAUAG